CCUGAUGUGACAAAUCAGGACAGUGUUUAAGAGGACGAUAUAAAGCGGAAGCAAAUUGUACUGGUUUGUUCACGCAAACCUGGACAGCUCACAAUAUGAAAGCCACAUGUAAUUUACAACCAAUUGCAAGACAGUGUGCGCUCUUGCCUAGGUCAGCCACUGUUUGCCGACGGCGAGGACGGCAUAUAUCGACUGGCCAUCGCCAGUCUCUGUAAGUCCUUUCCCAGGAAGCUAUUCUGUCCCAAACAGUUGACUUCGGCAAUUUAAGCAAAAAAGCUCAUUCUGAAACUCCUGCCUUGAUCAGCGAAGUAAUCUACUUCGCAGGACAGCUACCGCUGCAGCGGUAGAUACCGCUCUUGCCAUUGUAGGCUCGCUUGGAAUAGUGGGGGGAACCUUUUUUGCGGCUUUAUACAUCAUUGAGCGUCAAAGCAAGGUACGGCUGCUCUUCCUUCGGCUACACAUGCCGUUCGACCCCCCAUCACCCCAACUUGGAGGCCUUCAUGCCGGCCUGCCGUCACCUUCCGCGCACCCAACUGCAAUUCGGCGAACGUUGCACGUGCAAUGCUCUUAUCACCUCGGGGAAGGUGGUCCGGCUCUAAUCUAUCAUAGUAUAUCGUUGGCCAUAGGUGCCUUACCCACUACCCGUCCUACCCCUGCCCCAUACGCGUCCGGGGUUAUAUCACAUAACCCCCAUGCCGCAGCUCCUGUUGCUGCUGCUACUAUUACUGCUGUGCACCCUUCGGAUCACACCUCCUGUUAUUUCAAUCCCAACUCCAGACGCCUUAAACUGCCUCUUCCCCUUACAGCCUUAUGGCGCUCACAAAGAACAGCUCCACUUAACUUGGUUUUGCAAACCUCCUUGCAGCUCCUAACCCGCUGACCCUUUUUGCGUUUCUGAAUUUACAUAUCACAUCGUCACCCCAACCAACCAGGUCCCCGGUCCCCGAUGUUUCGUCGUUUACCCCUAGCCCCCAAAGAUCCCCGUCCCGUGGGACCGUGCCGUUGGCAUCUGCAACUUUUCAGGAAGUCCUUCACCGCAAACUCGAGCGGCUAGAAGCCACCAUCAGGGAGCGAGAUCAGCAGCUGCUGUCGGCGGCACAAGAGGUUGACAGGGCCAAGGAGGUAUGGCAAGGCCAUAUCCAAACAGACAGUGCGUUGCACCGCUAAGAAUAUAUCGCUAAUAACCAUAGUACUAAUAACCACAUCGCGCGUGCUUCGGCGCUUUCACCGACGCGAAUGGAACAAAGGUGCACUUGACCCUCAGACCUUCUUCACCUUGUUUCGGACGCGCCCCCUCGUGUGGGGUACCACCCAAUUCGUAUCCACUUAGAAUAUUUGCCUUUCGCAGUUGUUCUUUUCCGCCGCCCAGAAUUUAAAUGGACUUGCGAAAUUUAAAGGAAUCCUUGAAUCCUGAAUCCAACUCCCCUGACCCAGCACGCCCGCGAGAACGACAUGUUUCGAGUCCGCUACGCCGAUGCCAGCCGGGACAUCUUUAAAUUGGAGAGGGCGCUGGAACUCAAGGCGAGCGGGAAGAGCGGGGGGCGAUUGGCGUGUGUGGGUUAAGAGGGCACGAAACUUGUAGUAGAGAACUACACCCUCCGAUCCGAAUCUCCACCAUUCACAAGUUGCGUAAAUGCAUGCGUUCCUUCCUUCCUACCUUGCUUGCACUCCUCAAGCCCCACAUGUCUGCUUCUUCUCACCGCUUCUUGCCUUCCUCCCUGUUUCGCCUUGCAUGUCAUGUCACCUCAUAUGCCUG
RNAcentral lists this long non-coding RNA (1756 nucleotides) under Volvox carteri. RNAcentral's name for it is "long non-coding RNA (VCAR_LNC000475)". The record is from RNAcentral. Lineage: Eukaryota; Viridiplantae; Chlorophyta; Chlorophyceae; Chlamydomonadales; Volvocaceae.